GCGGGGGUGGAGUAGACAGUCAACUCGCCGGGCUAAUCCCCCGGAGCCGUGGGUGCGACACCCACCCCCCGCACCA
RNAcentral lists this transfer RNA (76 nucleotides) under bacterium. Its description in RNAcentral is "tRNA-Ile". The record is from RNAcentral.